This 131-nucleotide small RNA is filed under the name Klebsiella pneumoniae. RNAcentral's name for it is "RtT sRNA". It matches the Rfam family "RtT RNA". From Rfam's summary of the family: This family represents a bacterial cis-regulatory element known as RtT RNA. Lineage: Bacteria; Pseudomonadati; Pseudomonadota; Gammaproteobacteria; Enterobacterales; Enterobacteriaceae. RNAcentral also lists the same sequence under 1 other name. The record is from RNAcentral.
UAUUCUGCCCCAUGGGGAAGGAUGAGAAGCUUCGACCAAGGUUCGACUCGAGCGAAGCGAAAGAACGUUGCCGCAGGCAAUGGCCCGAAGGCGAGGCGCUUUAGCGCCGAGUAAUCCUUCCCCCACCACUG